AACGAGAUAACUGGCUCCUUAUGAUGACGGACAUUUUAAGGAGCUAGUGCAAACGCAACAGUUUUGUCAGGCUAUAUGUCGUAUUAUACCCAAUAGAUUUCAAGAUGCCGCCAACAAAGCGGCAACUUGAAAGACGAAAGGUAUAAGGGAUGUAGCUUCACAGGUCUGUUGCGUGUGCUUUUAUUUGAUGAAUUCUAACUGAAUUGGUAGCACAUGAACUCCAUAAUAACGAAUCGGUUACAACGUAAGCUAGGAUAUACCUUUACAC
Molecule: non-coding RNA, 268 nt
Organism: Xenorhabdus beddingii
Lineage: Bacteria; Pseudomonadati; Pseudomonadota; Gammaproteobacteria; Enterobacterales; Morganellaceae
Source: Rfam